Molecule: ribosomal RNA, 463 nt
Filed under: uncultured Pelotomaculum sp.
Lineage: Bacteria; Bacillati; Bacillota; Clostridia; Eubacteriales; Desulfotomaculaceae
Description: bacterial SSU rRNA
Rfam family: Bacterial small subunit ribosomal RNA
Source: RNAcentral
CCGCACAAGCGGUGGAGCAUGUGUUAAUUCGACGCAACGCGAAGAACCUUACCGAGGCUUGACACUCCCCUGACCGCGUAUGAAAGUACGUUUUCACCCUCGGGUGACAGGGAGACAGGUGGUGCAUGGUUGUCGUCAGCUCGUGUCGUGAGAUGUUGGGUUAAGUCCCGCAACGAGCGCAACCCCUACGUUUAGUUGCUAACGCGUGAAGGCGAGCACUCUAGACGAACUGCCGUUGACAAAACGGAGGAAGGUGGGAUGACGUCAAAUCAUCAUGCCCCUUAUGACCUGGGCUACACACGUAAUACAAUGGCGGUCAACAGAGGGAAGCGACGCCGCGAGGCCGAGCGAAUCCUCAAAAGCCGUCUCAGUUCGGAUUGCAGGCUGCAACUCGCCUGCAUGAAGUCGGAAUUGCUAGUAAUCGCGGAUCAGCACGCCGCGGUCGAAUACGUUCCCGGGCCUU